UACGUAGGGGGCAAGCGUUGUCCGGAAUUAUUGGGCGUAAAGAGCGCGUAGGCGGUCCGAUAAGUCGGCUGUGAAAGUCAGGGGCUCAACCCUUGAAAGCCGGCCGAUACUGUCGGACUAGAGUCCGGAAGAGGCAAGUGGAAUUCCCGGUGUAGCGGUGAAAUGCGUAGAUAUCGAGAGGAACACCUGCGGCGAAGGCGGGUUGCUGGGCCGACACUGACGCUGAUGCGCGAAAGCCAGGGGAGCGAACGGG
RNAcentral lists this ribosomal RNA (253 nucleotides) under uncultured bacterium. RNAcentral's name for it is "partial 16S ribosomal RNA". It matches the Rfam family "Bacterial small subunit ribosomal RNA", at positions 524 to 776 of the family's 1533-position model. The record is from RNAcentral.